RNAcentral lists this small RNA (580 nucleotides) under Pongo abelii (Sumatran orangutan). Its description in RNAcentral is "retained intron". The record is from RNAcentral. Lineage: Eukaryota; Metazoa; Chordata; Mammalia; Primates; Hominidae.
AUGCAGAGGACACACAUUCUGGGGCUUGGGCAUCAGUUUCCUGUGUCCAGGUUACAGAGGAGUCCUAAUUCUAUUGAUCCCACAUUCACUCUUGGCAGAGGCCGCCCCAUCGUGUCCGCCAGUGCCUCCCUCACCAUCUUCCCUGCCAUGUUCAACCCAGAGGAGCGCAGCUGCAGCUUAGAGGGGAACCCUGUGGCCUGGUGAGGGUGCCCAGGAAAUUGCAGAGACCUGAGCAUGGGAGUGGGCAGGGGUACCAAGUCUGCCUUAAGAAGGGGAAAAUGGUGGUGUCCUAGUCUGGGUCUGGCUGGGAGAUGGGUAGAGGAUAGGAUGUCUGUUCCAGUUGGAUUCACCAGCUUUCUUCUUGGUCUUUCUCCAGCAUCAACCUUAGCUUCUGCCUCAAUGCUUCUGGAAAACACGUUGCUGACUCCAUUGGCUUCACAGUGGAACUUCAGCUGGACUGGCAGAAGCAGAAGGGAGGGGUACGGCGGGCACUGUUCCUGGCCUCCAGGCAGGCAACCCUGACCCAGACCCUGCUCAUCCAGAAUGGGGCUCGAGAGGAUUGCAGAGAGAUGAAGAUCUA